CUGGUUGAUCCUGCCAGUUGUCAUAUGCUUCGUUCAAGGACUAAGCCAUGCAAAUGUCAGUGGACCUGAGUUCACUCGGGGGGACUGUGUACGGCUCAUUAAACGGUUAAUAGUCUACCCAACAGCGAGGGUAUUCGUACCCUCCGACGGGAUAUAACCGCCCUAACCGGGCAGCUAAUACCUGGAAGACCAAUCCUGGACCACUCCACCACCUGCGGGGAAACCCGCGGGUGGGGUCCAGGAUGCUAUUGGCCGGAACAAGGACUAACGCCCUCACGGGCAGAUGUAAUUGUUGACGCAGGCCAAUGUAGCGGAAGCGCUUCGGCGCGGUGUUGGACGAAUUCACCACCUAUCAGGUUGAAGGUAGUGUAGUGGACUACCUUGCCUCUGACGGGUAACGGAGGAUUGGGGUUCGAUUCCGGAGAGGGUGCCUGAGAAACGGCAACCAUGACUACGGUCAGCAGCAGGCGCGCAAAUUGCCCAAUGCUAACACAUAGCGAGGCAGCGACGAAAAAUAGUAUACCUGCGGCCUUCGGGUCUCAGGAUGCAAUGAUUUGUAUCUAAUACACACUACUGAGCAACUAUUGGAGGGCAAGUCUGGUGCCAGCAGCCGCGGUAAUUCCAGCUCCAAGAGCGUAUAUAAAUGUUGUUGCGGUUAAAAAGCCCGUAGUUGGAUUUGAGAGCAAGACCUGUGGGCGCCCCUGCAUUGCCUUCUGGUAGUGUGGGAUUCGCGUCCACGCAUGGGCCAUGCUCUGAUGCAUGCGGGAUCGUUCACUGGCUGAGGGCUCAUUCACUUGGGUCUAAGGCAAUUUCGGAGGGUUCAUACUCCGUAAGGUGCGCCCGCAGACGCCACUGUGAGUAAACCAGAGUGUUCAAGGCAACCAUCGUGCGUGGUUGAAUGUUAAAGCAUGGAAUGGCAAGGGAUCGACCUUCGGGGCCUCUUUUUGUUGGUUCUUAAGCUCUGUUAGGGGAAUCUUGCGGUCGAGUGCCGGCAUGGCCUUGUGCUAAUGUCGGUUCGGCCGCGCACGGGAUCAAUAGGAGCACAGGGGGCCAUGGGUACUGGAGGGCUAGUGGUGAAAUACUUAGACCCCUCCAAGACCGACAUCAGCGAAAGCACUUGGCUAUUGUGCUUUCAUUAAUCAAGGACGAGAGAUCGGGGAUGGAAGAGGAUUAGACACCCUCGUAAUCCGUUCUGUAAAUUCUGCAGACUUGGGAUCGGUCAGCGCUCACUUCUAGACCUGAUCGGCACCUUACUCCUCUAUCGAGAAAUCAAAGUUUUUGUGUUCCGGGGGGAGUAUAUUCGCAAGGCUGAAACUUAAAGGAAUUGACGGAGAACCACCACCAGUCGUGGAGUGUGUGGCUUAAUUCGACUCAACACGGGAAAUUUUACCAGGCCAGGACGUGGUAAGGAUUGCCAGAUUGAUAGCUCUUGCAUGAUUCCGCGAAGGGUGGUGCAUGGCCGCUUCUGGUUGGUGAAGUGAUUUGUCUGCUUAAUUGCGUUAACGAACGAGAUCUCUGCCAAUUACUAGAUGCCUGUGUCGUCUUAGGUUGCGGGCCGUGGAAUCUUCGGAAACCUCGGUAAUCUGCGCUGAGACACAGGAGAUUUACUUAUUGGGAUUAUGCGUUUUAAGCGCAUUGAAACAAGAGCCCAAAGCAGGUCUGUGAUGCUCCUAUAUGUUCUGGGCUGCACGCGCACUACACUGAUUCAGCCAACGAGCUUCUGCCUCAUAGGCAGCCUGGUCCGAAGGGAUUGGGGAAUCUUUUGAGACUGAGUCGUGAUGGGGAUUGAUGCUUGUAAUUAUUCUCCAUGAACGAGGAAUGUCUUGUAUCCGCGUUUCAUCAGAACGCAGAGAAUACGUCCCUGGUUCUUGUACACACCGCCCGUCGUUGCCUGUGAUGGAUUGUGAGUAGAGCCAUCUGGAGGUGGCUGGUGGGGCAACUUACCAGAUCGCCGAAAUUUGGCAAUACUCACUGUCUAGAAGAGGCAAAAGUCGUAACAAGGUAGCUGUAGGUGA
This 2015-nucleotide ribosomal RNA is filed under the name Petalomonas cantuscygni. RNAcentral describes it as "SSU rRNA". It matches the Rfam family "Eukaryotic small subunit ribosomal RNA". Lineage: Eukaryota; Euglenozoa; Stavomonadea; Petalomonadida; Scytomonadidae. The record is from RNAcentral.